RNAcentral lists this ribosomal RNA (466 nucleotides) under uncultured bacterium. RNAcentral describes it as "bacterial SSU rRNA". It matches the Rfam family "Bacterial small subunit ribosomal RNA", at positions 38 to 518 of the family's 1533-position model. The record is from RNAcentral.
GGCGGCGUAGCCUAACACAUGCAAGUCGAGCGAGGAGAGUCCUUCGGGAUGAUCCUAGCGGCGGACGGGUGAGUAACACGUGGGCAACCUGCCUCAUAGAGAGGAAUAGCCUUCCGAAAGGGAGAUUAAUACCUCAUAACAUUGCAGUUCGCAUGGAACAGCAAUUAAAGGAGCAAUCCGCUAUGAGAUGGGCCCGCGGCGCAUUAGCUAGUUGGUGAGGUAACGGCUCACCAAGGCGACGAUGCGUAGCCGACCUGAGAGGGUCGAUCGGCCACAUUGGGACUGAGACACGGCCCAGACUCCUACGGGAGGCAGCAGUGAGGAAUAUUGCACAAUGGGGGAAACCCUGAUGCAGCCAACGCCGCGUGAGUGAUGACGGCCUUCGGGUUGUAAAGGCUCUGUCUUCAGGGACGAUAAUGACGGUACCUGAGGAGGAAGCCACGGCUAACUACGUGCCAGCAGCAGC